AUGGUUGAUGAUGUAAGACUUAUGCAUGAGAUGGGUUUAGACGCGUACAGGUUCUCCAUUGCAUGGCCCCGGCUUAUACCAGAUGGAAGAGGAGAGAUCAAUCUGAAGGGCCUGGAGUACUACAGUAACUUAAUAGAUGAAUUGAUACGUCACGGCAUACAACCUCAUGUCACAAUCUACCAUUUAGACCUCCCUCAGUCCCUUCAGGACGAAUACAAUGGACUGCUCAGCCCCAGAUUCAUAGACGAUUACACAGCGUAUGCUGAAGCCUGCUUCAAGAGCUUCGGUGACAGGGUGAAGCACUGGGUCACCGUCAACGAGCCCAACAUAGAGACCAUCGGAGGCUUCGACAACGGCCGGCUUCCACCGCAGCGCUGCUCCCAUCCCUUCGGCGAGAACUGCACCAGAGGGGAUUCUACGACGGAGCCGUAUGUAGCCGCCCACCACCUCCUGCUCGCACAUGCCUCGGCAGUGCGCCUGUAUAGAGACAACUACCAGGCAACUCAAAGAGGACAGAUAGGGAUCACUCUCUUGGGCUGGUGGCAUGAGCCUGCUACCAACUCAUCGCAGGAUGCAGCGGCUGCAACGAGGAUGAACGACUUCCACAUUGGAUGGUUUAUGCAUCCUUUGGUGUAUGGGGACUACCCUACUCUGAUGAGGAGCAGGGCAGGAGCACGGCUGCCGUAUUUAACAGUGGAGCAGUCUAAGAAUUUGCGUGGAGCAUUCGACUUCAUCGGCAUCAAUCACUACCUCGUUGUUCGCACGCGAGCCCACGACAGCACUUUCAAUCUGGAGCAGAGAGACUACUAUGCUGACGCAUCUGCCAUUGCAAAUCCAUUCGAAGAUAUGCAAGCGGGACGUCUUGAGUAUGCUCCUUGGGCUCUAGGGAAGCUACUGGACCACCUGAAACUCAAGUACGGAAAUCCUCCAAUCUUGAUCCAUGAAAACGGAAAGAUCGUAUACGAGGACGACAACAGAUCAGAGUUCCUGCAAGAUUAUCUGGAAGUUCUCUAUCUGUCCAUAAGGAACGGAUCGGACGCGCGGGGAUACUUCGUGUGGUCUUUCCUCGACGUGUUUGAGUUGCUGUUUGGCUACCGUUCACGCUUUGGUCUGUGCGGCGUCGACAUGAACAUCAAGGAGAGGCCAAGAUACGUGAGGAGCUCUGCCCGCUGGUACUCCGGCUUCCUCAACGGCGGCGAGCUGCGGCCGUCCGGGAGAGCCUACAGAGCUGCAUGA
RNAcentral lists this ribosomal RNA (1236 nucleotides) under Triticum aestivum (bread wheat). Its description in RNAcentral is "partial small subunit ribosomal RNA". Lineage: Eukaryota; Viridiplantae; Streptophyta; Magnoliopsida; Poales; Poaceae. The record is from RNAcentral.